GAGUAGCUGAGAUUACAGGUGCGUGCCACCAUGCCCAGCUAAUUUUUGUAUUUUUAGUAGAGACAGGGUUUCAUCAUGUUGGUCAGGCUGGUCUUGAACUUCUGACCUUGUGAUCCACUCGUCUCGGCCUCCCAAAGUGCCGGGAUUACAGGCAUGAGCUACCACAUUAUGGCAUAACACUUUUAUCGUAAUUAAUCAUCAUGAAAAUGCCAAUAAGCAGGUGCUAUCUCCAUUUCUCAAGGGAGGGAACUGAGGGUCACUGCCAUCUACCCAAGGCCAUCAUGGGAUUAAGUGAAGGUCCUUUGACCCCAGAAAUUUGACUUGACUUGAGGUAUUAAGUGGCACCCAUUGGGGGAUCCAUACUAUUGGAUUACAAGAAGAAAAAGCACCUCCACAGUAUAUGUGGGGUACUUGUUUUGAUUUUCUUUGUUUUUGAAUUUUUGCAAUUCUACUAGGUAUUUUUGCAAUUCUACUAGGUAGCCUGUGUUUUAAUGCCCAUUCUAUCUCUAACUAGCCUAACCCCAAGAUGCAAGUUUGAAAUCGAAAUUUAGGAAACAUGCAGACAGUCAGGGCACUGAACUCUCUAUUUUCUAAUCUUUAAAAUGGACACGGUUGUUCCUAGUUCAUGGCACUCUCAUGAGGCUCAAAUUAAGACAGUGGGAACAAAAGAGUAUUUUUUCCUUCCUUCUAAAUAAUUUUCUAAGUUAACUGGAGAAAAAAGAUAAUUAAAUUAAAUUUCCAUCCCUUAUUCUUAAGAGGAGAUCAAAGCUUGACUUCUGUAGUUUUAAAUUUGAAAAAAGGCACUUACUGGUCUAGUGCCUAUUUAUUCGCAGUUUCUGAUUGUCUCAUGAAUAUAUGUCAGCAAUUUCUUCACAGGAAAGCUGGUUUUUCCCCCUGCUGGUUGCCUCUUACAGCUAAUUGUAUUUAAGGGGGGAAAUUAGAUGUUUAGAAAUGCUCAUUGGCCCCCGACUCAUUAAUAGGCCCUCCUUACUCUAUUGUAUCCGGUAGAAGAGUUAUAAGUACGUCAUUCCCUCUCCUCUCUCUUUUAAAAGACUUUUGACAAAGACCAAGCCACAAGUACACACUGCAGAUCAUCAAAAGCCGGCACCAAUUUGGCUAAUGGUGUGUACUUUGUUUUCAGAUUCUCUUAAUACUUUAAGCACUUAACUGGAGCCUAGGUUCAUUUUGAGCUCUAGCUUGUGGUUUCCAGGCAAAAGCAGCCCAUCUGACUUUUAGUGCCCCUGUCUGUGAGUUGAUAAGACCGCCUGGAGUCUCUAAACUCCUUUAAGUGCUAAAUGUCAAGCUGGAAUUGGGUAUCUCUGGCCGAACAAUGUGUGUUGUUUUAAAAUGACUCCUUAAUAUGAAGAGGUUUCCAAGUGCACUAAUGUCAGGGGUAUUUAAACAGGGUAAUGGGGGUGUCUUUGAAAUGCCUUUUUAGUUGGCAACUUAAUAAUCUCCCUCUUGUUCAAAUAUUAUUUUCACCACAGUACAUCUGAUACUCUCCGAAAGUUAAACAAGCCAUUCAGGAAAAUGGGAUUGAGUUAUGACAAGCUGAACAGAAGCCCUGAAAGGUCAUGGGCUCAUUUCUUCAUUUAUGGUAAGACGUCCUUCUCACCUCUUUUUGUCAGUCCUGCUUAGGAGACAGUGAAG
RNAcentral lists this long non-coding RNA (1650 nucleotides) under Macaca fascicularis (crab-eating macaque). Its description in RNAcentral is "lncRNA (ENSMFAG00000049991.1)". The record is from RNAcentral. Lineage: Eukaryota; Metazoa; Chordata; Mammalia; Primates; Cercopithecidae.